RNAcentral lists this ribosomal RNA (466 nucleotides) under uncultured bacterium. RNAcentral's name for it is "bacterial SSU rRNA". It matches the Rfam family "Bacterial small subunit ribosomal RNA", at positions 32 to 507 of the family's 1533-position model. The record is from RNAcentral.
AAUCAACGCUGGCGGCGUGCCUCAGACAUGCAAGUCGAACGAUUAAAGCUCUCUUCGGAGAGUGUAUAGAGUGGCGCACGGGUGAGUAACACGUAAGUAAUCUACCCUCGAGUGGGGAAUAACAACCGGAAACGGUUGCUAAUACCGCAUAAUGCAGCGGCACCGCAAGGUGACAGUUGUUAAAGAUUUAUCGCUUGAGGAGGAGCUUGCGGCAGGAUUAGCUAGUUGGUAGGGUAACGGCUUACCAAGGCUACGAUCUGUAACCGGUCUAAGAGGACGGUCGGUCACAACUGACACUGAAUAACGGGUCAGACUCCUACGGGAGGCAGCAGUCGGGAAUUUUGGGCAAUGGGCGAAAGCCUGACCCAGCAACGCCGCGUGAAGGAUGAAGUAUUUCGGUAUGUAAACUUCGAAAGAAUAGGAAGAAUUAAUGACGGUACAUUUAUAAGGUCCGGCUAACUACGUG